GGCCACUGCUAUUGGGGUCCGAUUAAGCCAUGCGAGUCAUGGGGCGCCUUGUGCGCACCGGCGGACGGCUCAGUAACACGUCGGUAACCUACCCUCGGGAGGGGGAUAACCCCGGGAAACUGGGGCUAAUCUCCCAUAGGUUUAGGGCACUGGAAGGUCCCUAAACCGAAAGGGGCUCUGCCCGCCCGAGGAUGGGCCGGCGGCCGAUUAGGUAGUUGGUGGGGUAACGGCCCACCAAGCCCAUAAUCGGUACGGGCAGUGAGAGCUGGAGCCCGGAGAUGGACACUGAGACACGGGUCCAGGCCCUACGGGGCGCAGCAGGCGCGAAACCUCCGCAAUGCUCGAAAGAGCGACGGGGGGACCCCAAGUGCCGUGGUACAACCACGGCUUUUCCGGAGUGUAAGAAGCUCCGGGAAUAAGGGCUGGGCAAGGCCGGUGGCAGCCGCCGCGGUAAUACCGGCGGCCCGAGUGGUGGCCACUAUUAUUGGGCCUAAAGCGUCCGUAGCCGGGCUUGUAAGUCCCUGGCGAAAUCCCACGGCUCAACCGUGGGGCUUGCUGGGGAUACUGCAAGCCUUGGGACCGGGAGAGGCCGGGGGUACUCCUGGGGUAGGGGUGAAAUCCUAUAAUCCCAGGAGGACCGCCAGUGGCGAAGGCGCCCGGCUGGAACGGGUCCGACGGUGAGGGACGAAGGCCAGGGGAGCAAACCGGAUUAGAUACCCGGGUAGUCCUGGCUGUAAAGGAUGCGGGCUAGGUGUUGCUUGGACCUCGAGUCCAAGCAGUGCCGCAGGGAAGCCGUUAAGCCCGCCGCCUGGGGAGUACGGCCGCAAGGCUGAAACUUAAAGGAAUUGGCGGGGGAGCACUACAAGGGGUGGAGCGUGCGGUUUAAUUGGAUUCAACGCCGGGAACCUCACCGGGGGCGACGGCAGGAUGAAGGCCAGGCUGAAGGUCUUGCCGGACACGCCGAGAGGAGGUGCAUGGCCGCCGUCAGCUCGUACCGUGAGGCGUCCACUUAAGUGUGGUAACGAGCGAGACCCGCGCCCCCAGUUGCCAGCCCUUCCCGUUGGGAAGGGGGCGCUCUGGGGGGACUGCCGGCGAUAAGCCGGAGGAAGGAGCGGGCGACGGUAGGUCAGUAUGCCCCGAAACCCCCGGGCUACACGCGCGCUACAAUGGGCGGGACAAUGGGAUCCAACCCCGAAAGGGGAAGGAAAUCCCCUAAACCCGCCCCCAGUUCGGAUUGCGGGCUGCAACUCGCCCGCAUGAAGCUGGAAUCCCUAGUACCCGCGUGUCAUCAUCGCGCGGCGAAUACGUCCCUGCUCCUUG
This 1320-nucleotide ribosomal RNA is filed under the name uncultured archaeon. RNAcentral's name for it is "bacterial SSU rRNA". It matches the Rfam family "Archaeal small subunit ribosomal RNA", at positions 22 to 1339 of the family's 1478-position model. The record is from RNAcentral.